UCACCUAUCUGGCUGUAUUAUAUAUAUAUACCCCACUGCGCACUCACUCACCAGUAAAGCAACCAAUUUUCAUAUAUAUAUAUAUAUAUAUUGAAGUAAAUUGUAAUUGGUGAGUGAAAAUAAACCCUACCAACCCCAUUUUUUCCCUCUAUAAAGCUGGUAUACAUAUUAUAUAAUGGUAGAGUGGUCCUUGAAAGUUUUUGGAACACCCUUCUUCUUCUUCUUCUUCUUCUUCUAUCACUAUCUGUGUUUUUUUAGAGCUUUUGUGAGACCAAAUUUAGUGAUUUUUUUCCCCUUCUUUUUUCUUCUUUUAAAGUUCUGAUCAUGCUUUUCCACAGCUUUCUUGAACUUUCUUUGUUUUCCAUCAUAAAAGAAUUAGCUAAUAGCUAGAUAUACGUAUAUAUAUAUGUGUAUGUAUAUACCAUGGAAGCUCAAGAAAGCUGUGGGAGAACAUGAUAACAAUUCAGGACUUGCUUUUUUUUCUGGUUUAAGUUAGAUAUAUACACAUUGAAGACGAACAAGCUUUUCUCAGAAUAAAGGUUUCUGAUGCUGAAUUGCAAGGUGGGUUUUCCAUCUUUUUCAUGAAUAUUAUAUAUAUAUGUUUUCCUUGAUGAUUUUAUACAUCUCUUGCCAUGCAUGAACAUGGAGACAAUAACUAGACUUUAAUUUAUCUCAUAUUGAACUAAAUCAUCUUCUUAUUUAAAUUUUUUUUAACAAUAAUCUUUGUUAUUUCCAGCAUUUUAAUUGAUUCAAAGAUUAUGAUUUUUUUUUCUUUUUUUGACAAUCAACAAAGUUGAUAGUUCUUAUUGUUUGUCCUUUGCUCUUUCACUCUAAUUACCAUGUGGGAAAAAAAUAGUCAACCUUUGGCUUCACUCUCUUUCGAUCGAUAUAAAUAUCGUGUUUAUAUUUUAUAUAAUUUUCGCAUUUUUAAUAAUUUAUCUUCUUUUUUUAUCUUCUCCUACAAUGAGUUUCGCAUGGAAGCAAUUAAUGUCCAGUGUUGUAAUAAUUGAGUUUUUCUUGUUCUUUUGGAUUAUUUAACCUACAUAUAUCUUAUAUAGGAUUAAUCCCUCUAAGACCCCUACUUCCUUUUUUUUUUUUUUAAUAACGAUAAGCCAGGCAUUAAUUGUUCAUCGCAUUAAUUCAUAUCGAAUUUCUUAAUAAAAAUUCUCAUAUAAUAUAUUGACUUUAUUUUAAUAACACCAUUAUUAUCACAAAAUUUAAAAAUUACGAGUUUAAACGUGUUUAAACACAUAAUAACAUUUAAUGUUAUCACUAUGAUAUUAUAAUUUAUACAACUUUUCGUACAUCCUUCAAAUGGUGGUGGAUUUUUUACUUUAAAAAUUUUUAAAUACCCUAUUUAAAGAUUAGUAAAAGAUUAAGAUUCCAAUUUUAAAUUUAUUGAAUAUUCAUCCAAAAAAACAACAUUGGUGGACAAAAGAAUAGGUAAGGGACAUGCAUAAAGUUUAUCUACCUCUUCUUCCCAACUACUUUUUCUUCCCUUUGUUUUCAUUUGUGUCUUUUUCUUUUUCAUAUCAUGUUUAGAUUUCAUCCAAUUAUAUUCUAAGAAGUAGAUCAAUGGGUAUCAAUUAUUAUAAAUAAUGAAGUAUUGAAUAAUUAGCCCAAAAUAAAAUUCGAGGAGAACUUAAAAGGAUUAAAUCAAUUUAUUAUUGUUAAUUAGUAGUAGUACAAUUUUUCUUCUUUACACUAUUAUAUAUAUCCUUUUAGGCCAAGGAAAUUUAGUAAAUAAAGCAGUGAUCUACAAUUAAAGAGAAGGGUGAGAAGAAUCUAACAAGAUAUAGAAAAACCCAAAAAGAAAAGAAAAGGGGGGGGGGGGCUAUAAUUAAGGUGUAAUCAAGAUUGAAUAAGGGACCAUUUUGAAAAAAAAUGAUCAUAAUUGAGUAUGAUAAGGAAUCUUUACCUAAUUCAAAGAAAGCUUUGAAACAUACAUAAUUUUGAAAUGUUUAGCCACUCUUGUUAAUCUAUAAAUUUGGAUUUUUUUCGAGUUAGAAUCAUAUUCGAGUAUGAAAAAAAUUAUGUUUAAAUUUUAUUUUAUAUUUAAAUAGAGAAGUAAGUGUAAUUGGGAAGACAAAGGGUGAUGGUGAGCACAGCAGGAAAUAAUUAACAAGAAAAUAAAAACAAUGGUAUAUGACUUUUAUUUUAUAUAUAAUAUAUAUAAUUUUGCUAAUAUUAGAUAUUAUCUAGCUUUCAUGAAUUGCUGCAGUGCAGCUUUUAUUUUUCUUUUAAUUUUUUUAUUAUUAUUCAGAAUGAAUUCAAUUAUUGAGAAAGCAUGGGGAAAAGGUGACAAUAAUUCAUACACUUUUAUGCAUCUGCAAUUUACCAUUUCAAGCUGCUAUAUACUCACAUUGUAGCUUUUUAGAAUUAAAUAAAGAUCAUAUGUUUGUUUAUUUUUAUUUUUUAUUUUUUAUUUAUUUUUUAAAGUUGAGAGAUCUCAUGUGAUCAGGGAGAUUUUUAGUGAUUUCUCAUCAUGAUGAUUCUUAUUGUACAUUCCUUGGUUGAAUGGUACAAUUGCAACUUUAAUCUCUUUCAGAUGUUAAUAUUUCAAAUAUUUAAUCCCUUUUAGACUCUUUAUUGAAUGGAAAAUUUUCAUUUUUAGCUCCCCUUAGGAGUCGAAAAUUCAAUUUAAACCAUUUUAAUACAUACAUUCUAGCUUUUAGCAUACAUAGGCACAUACAUAUAUAUAGUACUCCCAAACACUUGAAAGUGUUAUAAAGUAUCUCAAAUCCAAGAAACAAAGAGUGUGGACGAAAUUUCCCAUCCAUGUGAAUACAAGUUGAAUUUUCUUUUUGGGUUUUUUUUAUAGAGGGGCAAUGAAAAUAGACUAGUGGUGGCACAUCAACACCCUCAAAAGAAAAUCAUACCCUUUUUCAAGUUAAUUAUUAUUGUCAUUAAAAGAAAGCAAUAGUGGAAAAUUUUCUUUUAAUUUUUUUUUUUCUUUUUAUCCCUUUCAAACUAUUCUAUGUAAGCAAAAAAUGCAAGUACUAAAUCCACAAGUGAGAUUUUGUGGGGGAAGGAUGAAGGGAGGGCAGCGGUUCAUGUUUUUGUACACAUUUGAAUCGAUAUAUACAUACAUAUAUUCGUUGUAGUUUCACGUUGGUGAUUCACUAACAAUUAGAUCAUGAAUAUGGCUUUUUGUUUGUUGUUGUAUUCUUGCUAUUGAAUCCGGUGUUGGUGGUCCGAAUAAAAUGUUGAAAAGUUAAGAGUUAAAUGUGAAGAUUUUGUUUUGAAAAAGUUUAACUUGAAUAUUUGAUAAUUCAAAGGGAUUAAAAUUGAUAUUUCUCCAUUCAACAAAAGGGAUUCAAUGAAGGAUUCAAUUGAAUUUUUUGAACCAUUUAUAAUAAUUUGAUUCAGUUCGAAUCCGAGUUUUUCAUAUUAAUUCUGAGUUUUGAGGUUUUGAACUCAUUUUGACAAAAUGAGUUUUAUUUUAAGACGUUUGACAAGUAAAUAAAAAAUAAUCAAUAACUCUUAUAUAGAUUUUUUAAAUAUUAUAUAUAAUUUUCGAGGCAUUGUAACUAGGAUAAUUAUGCUGGAGUAAAAACUUCAUAAACGGGUUUAAGAUAAUGCCAAGUGUUUUUAAUUAUUUAAUUAUUAUUUUAUUAUACUCUAAAAACAACUUAAUCAAUCCUGACCCACUUAAGUUUUUUACUCCAUUAGCAGUGUAUAGAUAAUUAUCAUUUUAACUAUUUUAAAUAUAAAAUAUUUAUUUGUACAUAAUAAAAAUUAAAUUAGUUAUAAAUUAAAUAAAAAUAGACUUCCGUUAGACUAAAAUAACCAUGAUUUUUUAAUUUGUACUUUAUAAACCAAUCAAACACUUCAUUUUGGAUCAAUUUUCAAUUUCUCAAUUUACUCAACCCUAAAUUUCUACAUCUUACUUACCCCUAACUACAUAUCUACUCGAAAAUUUUUUACUUAAAUAUCACAUUUAAAAUCGUAAUUUUUUUACUUAAAUAUCACAUUUAAAAUCGUAAUCUUUCUUUUAAAAAGGCAUCGAAAUUUUUACCAUUCUCGGUUGAACGAACACCAGUAACUAAACAAUUAAUAUUCGAUACAACUGGCGCCUGUGAACAAACUGAAAGGGAAAUGGCAAGGGCAAAGCAAUAAUGGCGCCCCCAUGUGUCGUGGGGAAAAAAAAAUUCAGUCACGUCGCUUUUAAGGCAUAACUCUUUGUUCCAACCAUUGGAGCAUUAGGACAGCAAGUGAAACUGAAACAAAGCAGGGGCCUGCCCUUUUAUCCGAUGUGGGAAGUGCGCCCAACUUUGUGCUGACUACCAAGAUGAAAAAGUAAUAUGUAAAUAAUA
Gossypium arboreum is the source of this 4316-nucleotide long non-coding RNA. RefSeq lists it as uncharacterized. Lineage: Eukaryota; Viridiplantae; Streptophyta; Magnoliopsida; Malvales; Malvaceae. The transcript is spliced from 2 exons. The record is from RefSeq and is a predicted model, not a curated record.